RNAcentral lists this ribosomal RNA (728 nucleotides) under Streptomyces sp. 01-T1-6. RNAcentral's name for it is "bacterial SSU rRNA". It matches the Rfam family "Bacterial small subunit ribosomal RNA", at positions 17 to 762 of the family's 1533-position model. The record is from RNAcentral. Lineage: Bacteria; Bacillati; Actinomycetota; Actinomycetes; Kitasatosporales; Streptomycetaceae.
UCCUGGCUCAGGACGAACGCUGGCGGCGUGCUUAACACAUGCAAGUCGAACGAUGAAGCCCUUCGGGGUGGAUUAGUGGCGAACGGGUGAGUAACACGUGGGCAAUCUGCCCUUCACUCUGGGACAAGCCCUGGAAACGGGGUCUAAUACCGGAUANNAGUUCGGNAGGCAUCUCCNGGACUGGAAAGCUCCGGCGGUGAAGGAUGAGCCCGCGGCCUAUCAGCUUGUUGGUGGGGUAAUGGCCUACCAAGGCGACGACGGGUAGCCGGCCUGAGAGGGCGACCGGCCACACUGGGACUGAGACACGGCCCAGACUCCUACGGGAGGCAGCAGUGGGGAAUAUUGCACAAUGGGCGAAAGCCUGAUGCAGCGACGCCGCGUGAGGGAUGACGGCCUUCGGGUUGUAAACCUCUUUCAGCAGGGAAGAAGCGAGAGUGACGGUACCUGCAGAAGAAGCGCCGGCUAACUACGUGCCAGCAGCCGCGGUAAUACGUAGGGCGCAAGCGUUGUCCGGAAUUAUUGGGCGUAAAGAGCUCGUAGGCGGCUUGUCACGUCGGGUGUGAAAGCCCGGGGCUUAACCCCGGGUCUGCAUCCGAUACGGGCAGGCUAGAGUGUGGUAGGGGAGAUCGGAAUUCCUGGUGUAGCGGUGAAAUGCGCAGAUAUCAGGAGGAACACCGGUGGCGAAGGCGGAUCUCUGGGCCAUUACUGACGCUGAGGAGCGAAAGCGU